This 436-nucleotide ribosomal RNA is filed under the name uncultured bacterium. Its description in RNAcentral is "partial 16S ribosomal RNA". It matches the Rfam family "Bacterial small subunit ribosomal RNA", at positions 341 to 792 of the family's 1533-position model. The record is from RNAcentral.
ACGGAAGGCAGCAGUGGGGAAUAUUGGGCAAUGGGGGGAACCCUGACCCAGCAACGCCGCGUGGAGGAAGAAGGUCUUCGGAUCGUAAACUCCUGUCCUAAAGGAAGAGUAGAAGACUGUACUUUAGGAGGAAGCCCCGGCUAACUACGUGCCAGCAGCCGCGGUAAUACGUAGGGGGCAAGCGUUGUCCGGAAUGAUUGGGCGUAAAGGGCGCGUAGGCGGCCCGGUAAGUCUGAAGUGAAAGUCCUGGCUUUAAGUUGGGAAUUGCUUUGGAUACUGUCGGGCUUGAGUGCAGGAGAGGUUAUCGGAAUUCCCGGUGUAGCGGUGAAAUGCGUAGAGAUCGGGAGGAACACCAGUGGCGAAGGCGGGUAACUGGACUGCAACUGACGCUGAGGCGCGAAAGUGUGGGGAGCAAACAGGAUUAGAUACCCUGGUA